RNAcentral lists this ribosomal RNA (440 nucleotides) under uncultured bacterium. RNAcentral describes it as "partial 16S ribosomal RNA". It matches the Rfam family "Bacterial small subunit ribosomal RNA", at positions 338 to 795 of the family's 1533-position model. The record is from RNAcentral.
CCUACGGGAGGCUGCAGUAGGGAAUAUUGCUCAAUGGGGGAAACCCUGAAGCAGCAACGCCGCGUGGAGGAUGAAGGUUUUCGGAUUGUAAACUCCUUUUGUUAGAGAAGAUAAUGACGGUAUCUAACGAAUAAGCACCGGCUAACUCCGUGCCAGCAGCCGCGGUAAUACGGAGGGUGCAAGCGUUACUCGGAAUCACUGGGCGGAAAGAGCGCGUAGGCGGGAUAGCAAGUCAGAUGUGAAAUCCUAUGGCUUAACCAUAGAACUGCAUUUGAAACUGUUAUUCUAGAGUAUGGGAGAGGUAGGUGGAAUUCUUGGUGUAGGGGUAAAAUCCGUAGAGAUCAAGAGGAAUACUCAUUGCGAAGGCGACCUGCUAGAACAUAACUGACGCUGAUGCGCGAAAGCGUGGGGAGCAAACAGGAUUAGAUACCCCGGUAGUC